RNAcentral lists this ribosomal RNA (479 nucleotides) under uncultured bacterium. RNAcentral's name for it is "partial 16S ribosomal RNA". It matches the Rfam family "Bacterial small subunit ribosomal RNA", at positions 28 to 507 of the family's 1533-position model. The record is from RNAcentral.
GAUGAACGCUGGCGGCGUGCUUAACACAUGCAAGUCGAGCGAGAAGUUUUGAAAAGAUUCUUCGGAUGAAAUUUAAAAUGGAAAGCGGCGGACGGGUGAGUAACGCGUAGGCAACCUGCCCCAUACAAAGGGAUAGCAUUUGGAAACGAAUAGUAAUACCUUAUGAAACUUAACUAGUGCAUGCUAGGUAGGUCAAAGAUUUAUCGGUCUGGGAUGGGCCUGCGUCUGAUUAGCUAGUUGGUGAGGUAACGGCUCACCAAGGCGACGAUCAGUAGCCGACCUGGGAGGGUGAACGGCCACAUUGGAACUGAGACACGGUCCAAACUCCUACGGGAGGCAGCAGCGGGGAAUAUUGCACAAUGGGGGAAACGCUGAUGCAGCAACGCCGCGUGAACGAUGAAGGCCUUUGGGUCGUAAAGUUCUGUUCUAGGUGAUGAAAACUGACAGUAACCGAGGAGAAAGCCCCGGCUAACUCCGUG